CGGGACGGGUGAGUAAUGCUUGGGAAUCUGGCUUAUGAGGGGGAGUAACUACGGGAAACUGUAGCUAAUACCGCGUAGUAUCGGAAGAUGAAAGUGCGGGACCGUAAGGCCGCAUGCCAUGGGAUGAGCCCAAGUGGGAUUAGGUAGUUGGUGGGGUAAAGGCCUACCAAGCCUGCGAUCUCUAGCUGGUCUGAGAGGAUGGCCAGCCACACUGGAACUGAGACACGGUCCAG
RNAcentral lists this ribosomal RNA (233 nucleotides) under uncultured bacterium. RNAcentral's name for it is "partial 16S ribosomal RNA". It matches the Rfam family "Bacterial small subunit ribosomal RNA", at positions 100 to 334 of the family's 1533-position model. The record is from RNAcentral.